CGGAGGGUGCAAGCGUUAUCCGGAUUCACUGGGUUUAAAGGGUGCGUAGGUGGGUUAGUAAGUCAGUGGUGAAAUCCCCGAGCUUAACUUGGGAACUGCCAUUGAUACUAUUAAUCUUGAAUACCGUGGAGGUCAGCGGAAUAUGUCAUGUAGCGGUGAAAUGCUUAGAUAUGACAUAGAACACCAAUUGCGAAGGCAGCUGGCUACGCGAAUAUUGACACUGAUGCACGAAAGCGUGAGGAUCAAACAGGAUUAGAUACCCUGGUAGUCCACGCCCUAAACUAUGGAUACUCGACAUCAGCGAUACACUGUUGGUGUCUGAGCGAAAGCAUUAAGUAUCCCACCUGGGAAGUACGAUCGCAAGAUUG
This 368-nucleotide ribosomal RNA is filed under the name uncultured organism. RNAcentral's name for it is "bacterial SSU rRNA". It matches the Rfam family "Bacterial small subunit ribosomal RNA", at positions 526 to 896 of the family's 1533-position model. The record is from RNAcentral.